CUUGAGCGAACCGAUGUACAACGGCCGGUCGGCGGGCCUGUCCUGGCCGUACGUCGCCAGCAGGGCCUGCGCCUC
This 75-nucleotide antisense RNA is filed under the name Streptomyces sp. DSM 15324. RNAcentral's name for it is "ASpks TB sRNA". It matches the Rfam family "ASpks TB sRNA". The record is from Rfam by way of RNAcentral. Lineage: Bacteria; Bacillati; Actinomycetota; Actinomycetes; Kitasatosporales; Streptomycetaceae.